This 493-nucleotide ribosomal RNA is filed under the name uncultured bacterium. Its description in RNAcentral is "partial 16S ribosomal RNA". It matches the Rfam family "Bacterial small subunit ribosomal RNA", at positions 28 to 507 of the family's 1533-position model. The record is from RNAcentral.
AACGAACGCUGGCGGCGUGCUUAACACAUGCAAGUCGAACGGUGAAGGGACCGGUUUUUGCUGGUGCUGGAUGAGUGACGAACGGGUGAGUAACACGUACGUAACCUGCCCCCUUCUUCUGGCUAACCGCAUGAAAGUGUGGCUAAUACGGGAUCUUCUGCGCCUGCUGCAUGGUGGGUGUGGGAAAGAUUUUGUUUCUGUGGGGGAUGGGCUCGCGGCCUAUCAGGUUGUUGGUGGGGUGAUGGCCUACCAAGGCGGUGACGGGUAGCCGGCCUGCGAGGGUGGACGGUCACACGGGGAAGGAGACACGGCCAAGACUCCUACGGGAGGCAGUAGUGGGGAAUAGUGCACAAUGGGCGCAAGCCUGAUGCAGCGACGCCGCGUGAGGGAUGGAGGCCUGCGGGUUGUAAACCUCUGUCGCCAGUGAAGCAGGCCUGUCCCUUUUGUGGGGGGGUUGACGGUAGCUGGAUAAGAAGCGCCGGCUAACUACGUG